RNAcentral lists this non-coding RNA (104 nucleotides) under uncultured Trichodesmium sp. Lineage: Bacteria; Bacillati; Cyanobacteriota; Cyanophyceae; Oscillatoriales; Microcoleaceae. The record is from RNAcentral.
UGAAUCUAUGAACGCAACGGAACUGGAAAAAGACCAACCAUUAUCCCUCCAACCUUGCUCCCAGCCGGGGUUUACCGAGCCAGUGCCUCACGACACUGCUGGUA